AAGUCGUAACAAGGUUUCCGUAGGUGAACCUGCGGAAGGAUCAUUCGCACAUACUCAGCAACUUGGAGUACAUGGAAACAUGUAUGAAGAGUUGACUGUUUUAAAACAAACCCAAAACCAAACGCGGACUGUACAAAAAAACAAACCAAAUGCCUUAUGCUGUAGUAGUAGAUGAACGCCUUUAGUCUAUUAUUAUGGUGUUUGGCGAGUUACCAAGUCGGGUAGUGAACCUUGAUGGAUUUCGGGGCGAUCUACUUGUUAGUGUGUUGAUUGUUCCUAGCAAUGGUGGAUUCCAUGCUAGGCGGAAAUGUGUAUACGUAACAUAAUACAACUCUUUGCAAUGGAUAUCUUGGUUCUC
Molecule: unclassified non-coding RNA, 358 nt
Filed under: fungal sp.
Lineage: Eukaryota; Fungi
Description: partial internal transcribed spacer region
Rfam family: Eukaryotic small subunit ribosomal RNA (bases 1-46)
Source: RNAcentral